UGCAUGAAGCCGGAAUUGCUAGUAAUGGCAGGUCAGCAUACUGCCGUGAAUACGUUCCCGGGCCUUGUACACACCGCCCGUCACACCAUGAGAGUUGGGGAUACCCAAAGCCCGUGAGCCAACAUUAAAUGAGGCAGCGGUCUAAGGUAGAAUCAAUGAUUGGGGUGAAGUCGUAACAAGGUAUC
This 185-nucleotide ribosomal RNA is filed under the name uncultured bacterium. RNAcentral describes it as "partial 16S ribosomal RNA". It matches the Rfam family "Bacterial small subunit ribosomal RNA", at positions 1317 to 1500 of the family's 1533-position model. The record is from RNAcentral.